This 46-nucleotide transfer RNA is filed under the name Calohypnum oldhamii. RNAcentral describes it as "partial tRNA-Ser". Lineage: Eukaryota; Viridiplantae; Streptophyta; Bryopsida; Hypnales; Hypnaceae. The record is from RNAcentral.
GAGGGAUUCGAACCCUCGGUAAACAGAAGCUUACAUAGCAUUUCCA